GGUGAGUGAUACAUCGGAGCGUGCCCUGUAAUGGGGGAUGGCUCGGCUAAAGCCGGAUUAAUACCGCAUACGCCCUGAGGGGGAAAGUGGGGGACCGCAAGGCCUCACGUUAUUGGAGCGGCCGAUGGCUGAUUAGCUAGUUGGUAGGGUAAAGGCCUACCAAGGCGACGAUCACUAGCUGGUCUGACAGGACGAUCAUCCACACUGGGACUGAGACACGGCCCAGACUCCUACGGGAGGCAUCCUGGGGAAUUUUGGACAAUGGGGGAAACCCUGAUCCAGCAAUGCCGCGUGUGCGAAGAAGGCCUUCUGGUUGUAAAGCACUUUUGUCAGGGAAGAAAUCCUUUGGGCUAAUACCCUACGGGGAUGACGGUACCUGAAUAAUAAGCACCGGCUAACUACGUGCCAGCAGCCGCGGUAAUACGUACGGUGCAAGCGUUAAUCGGAAUUACUGGUC
This 457-nucleotide ribosomal RNA is filed under the name marine sediment bacterium BB0608_AND_7.2_11G0. RNAcentral's name for it is "bacterial SSU rRNA". It matches the Rfam family "Bacterial small subunit ribosomal RNA", at positions 105 to 559 of the family's 1533-position model. The record is from RNAcentral.